CAGGUCAGGCGGGACUACCCGCUGAGUUUAAGCAUAUCAAUAAGGCGGAGGAAA
This 54-nucleotide ribosomal RNA is filed under the name Hoya papaschonii. RNAcentral's name for it is "partial 28S ribosomal RNA". The record is from RNAcentral. Lineage: Eukaryota; Viridiplantae; Streptophyta; Magnoliopsida; Gentianales; Apocynaceae.